Molecule: ribosomal RNA, 494 nt
Filed under: uncultured bacterium
Lineage: Bacteria
Description: partial 16S ribosomal RNA
Rfam family: Bacterial small subunit ribosomal RNA
Source: RNAcentral
GACGAACGCUGGCGGCGUGCUUAACACAUGCAAGUCGAACGGAAAGGCCUGCUUUCCCUUGUGGAUUGCGGGUACUCGAGUGGCGAACGGGUGAGUAACACGUGAGUGAUCUGCCCCCAAAUUGGGUAUAAGCCUGGGAAACUGGGUCUAAUUCCCGAUAGGACUGCAGGGUGGUGCCUGUGGUGGAAAACGAUUUUCUAGUGGUUGGGGAUGAGCUCGCGGCCUAUCAGCUUGUUGGUGGGGUAAUGGCCUACCAAGGCGGCGACGGGUAGCCGGCCUGGGAGGGUGGACGGCCGCAGUGGGACUGAGAUACGGCCCAGACGCCUACGGGAGGCAGCAGUGGGGAAGAUUGCACAAGGGGCGGAAGCCUGAGGCAGCGACGCCGCGUGGGGGAUGACGGCCUUCGGGUUGUAAACUCCUUUCGACCGCGAGGAAGCCACCUGGUUGGAAGGGUGGUGACGGUAGUGGGAGAAGAAGCACCGGCUAACUACGUG